Molecule: ribosomal RNA, 468 nt
Filed under: uncultured bacterium
Lineage: Bacteria
Description: partial 16S ribosomal RNA
Rfam family: Bacterial small subunit ribosomal RNA
Source: RNAcentral
GACGAACGCUGGCGGCGUGCUUAACACAUGCAAGUCGAACGGAAAGGCCCUGCUUUUGUGGGGUGCUCGAGUGGCGAACGGGUGAGUAACACGUGUGUAACCUGCCCUUGACUUUGGGAUAACUUCAGGAAACUGGGGCUAAUACCGGAUAGGAGCUCCUGCUGCACGGUGGGGGUUGGAAAGUUUCGGCGGUUGGGGAUGGACUCGCGGCUUAUCAGCUUGUUGGUGGGGUAGUGGCUUACCAAGGCUUUGACGGGUAGCCGGCCUGAGAGGGUGACCGGCCACAAUGGGCCUAAGGUAGGGCCCAGAAGCCUACGGGAGGCAGCAGUGGGGAGUAUUACGCAAUGGGCGGAAGCGUGAUGCAGCAACGCCGCGUGCGGGAUGACGGGCUUCGGGUUGUAAACCGCUUUCGAUUGUGACGAAGAGUGAGUGACGGUAAUGGGUAAAAAAGCACCGGCUAACUACGUG